Molecule: ribosomal RNA, 492 nt
Filed under: uncultured bacterium
Lineage: Bacteria
Description: partial 16S ribosomal RNA
Rfam family: Bacterial small subunit ribosomal RNA
Source: RNAcentral
AGUGAACGCUGGCGGUAGGCCUAACACAUGCAAGUCGAACGGCAGCACAGUAAGAGCUUGCUCUUACGGGUGGCGAGUGGCGGACGGGUGAGGAAUACAUCGGAAUCUACUUUUUCGUGGGGGAUAACGUAGGGAAACUUACGCUAAUACCGCAUACGACCUACGGGUGAAAGCAGGGGAUCUUCGGACCUUGCGCGACUGAAUGAGCCGAUGUCGGAUUAGCUAGUUGGUGGGGUAAAGGCCCACCAAGGCGACGAUCCGUAGCUGGUCUGAGAGGAUGGUCAGCGACACUGGAACUGAGACACGGUCCAGACGCCUACGGGAGGCAGCAGUGGGGAAUAUUGGACAAUGGGCGCAAGCCUGAUCCAGCCAUACCGCGUGGGUGAAGAAGGCCUUCGGGUUGUAAAGCCCUUUUGUUGGGAAAGAAAAGCAGCAGGUUAAUACCCCGCUGUUCUGACGGUACCCAAAGAAUAAGCACCGGCUAACUUCGUG